This is a long non-coding RNA of Nicotiana attenuata, 833 nucleotides long. RefSeq lists it as uncharacterized. The record is from RefSeq and is a predicted model, not a curated record. Lineage: Eukaryota; Viridiplantae; Streptophyta; Magnoliopsida; Solanales; Solanaceae. The transcript has 3 exons.
UUUCUGGAGAGCAGUUCAGCGUGAGUUGGGCACACGGGUUGAGUUGAGCACAACAUUUCAUCCUCAGACGGAGUGGAGUUAAUGAUCAAAUGUCAAUUGCUAAAUUUAAAAUCUGCAUGCCUCCACAAAAUGGGAUUAAGAAACAUCCCUUCAGGUGUGUUGUAACACUGAGAGACAACAUAUUAGCUUUUCUGCUUCGUUUUUGCUCCUCUUGCUUCUUCGCGACUCUCUUUUCUUCUCUUCCUCCUUGGCUGCUCCAUUUGUUAUUAUCCAUGAAGUGUUGUAUGUAGAUGUACCACACAAUUGAGAGUGUUGAAGCUGACAGAAGAAUCCGAAACCUCUUGGCAAGAAGAGAUCAGAUUCCGACAUAAUCGCCGUUUACGAAUUUUGAUAUUUGUUUGAGAAAAAAUGGGACUUGGAGAAAGACGAACAUGGAAAAUUAGGGAUUUCGAUGUUUGUUUGGUGCAGUUUCAUGUGUAAUUUCAAAUCUCUCCUCUUUAUGCAAUUUGUCUGUUAUGACCCUCAAUUGUAGUUCUCACUUCAGGUGAGUUUUGUUUCUUCUUCUUAUUUUUUUGCACUCAUUUUUUGGUAAUGAAGAUAUACUGGGUAUAUAUUUGUUAUCCUAUUAUUAAGACGAUCGCAUAAGAGAAAAAUAAUAGAAAUUUAUUUAUUGAAGAAGAGAAGAUAACCUUCAAACUACUCAUUCGCCAGGGAUGACAACAACUCCGUUGAGUUUGGUUCUUUGUAUUUCUAUUUUCUUUGUAUGUCUUUAUGAAGUUAGAACAUGGUCGCGCAUAGCGGGAGCUCAGUGUACCGGCACUACAAAAAAUCAA